CACAAAGGGAGAAAGGCAAUAAUCAAACAAAUUACUUUCAGAUAGACAUCAGUGCUAGGAGGAGGUCAGCACAAGGUGAUGUAAGAGAGAGUGACAGGUGGGGUGAGGGCUACACUUGAUAAGGGGGUCAGUGAAGCCUCUCUGAGGAGGUGACAUUGAGCUGAGACCCAAACAAUGAGAAGGAACUAGCCAUAGAAAGAUCUGGGCAAGGAGACUUCUAGACGGGGGAGCAGAAAAUGUAAAGGAUGAGCUUCAGAUGUUGACGGAUGUAGGGAGGGUUGAUGUGUUUGGAGUUUAGUGCAGGUGAAUAAAGAGGAACAUAAUGAGAUUGGAAAGUAGGUAGGAGUCAGUUCAUGCCAGGCCUUGCAGAUCAUGGUAAGACAUUUGGAUUUUAUUCUGAGGUUACUGGGAAGCCAUUAGAGAGUUUUAAAUGGGACAUAACAUAGUACGUGGGGUAGCUAGCCUUCAAAACAUCCUCCAGUGAUUCUUGCGUCCUGGUAUUUACACCCUCGUGUAGCCCCUCUCACAUUGACUAGGGCUGACCCGAUAGGAUGCUGCAAAUGUGAUGGUAUAUAACUUUCAAGGAAGGUCAUAAAAGACAUUGUGACUCUGCCUUGGGCUCCCGAAUGUCUGCCUCUGGGGAAGCCAGCCGCCAUGUUGUGAAGAUACUCAAGCAGCCCUAUGGUCUGAAAGGAGGAUGCAAGCAGUCCCUCCACAUCGCAGUUUUGCUUUCUGCGGUUUCAGUUACCUGCGGUCAACCACCAUCUAAAAAUAGAUUCCAGAGAAGGGGAAUAUGAUUGGCUCAUCUCAUCUGUCUGUACCAAGCCAUGCCAUAGAUUACCAAGUGGCCUAUAAACUGGAAGCUUCAGGGAGAUGUGUCUGCCUACCUUAGUCAGUUAGAAGUCCCAUGGCCUCUCAAGACACUGUGGUUGACAAGUCUAGUAUGAUAGGAUCACAUCUUAUCGGAGGAGUGAUUCUAAAAUCUCUAUGUAAGACUUUAUCCCAUACAGUCAGAGUUACUCAUGAAAAUCCCUCAAAUUACCCAUACAUUUAUUUGUUUACUUAUUUUUUUUUAUUUUUAUUGUU
Molecule: non-coding RNA, 1086 nt
Organism: Macaca mulatta (Rhesus monkey)
Lineage: Eukaryota; Metazoa; Chordata; Mammalia; Primates; Cercopithecidae
Source: RefSeq, a predicted model, not a curated record